RNAcentral lists this ribosomal RNA (482 nucleotides) under uncultured bacterium. Its description in RNAcentral is "partial 16S ribosomal RNA". It matches the Rfam family "Bacterial small subunit ribosomal RNA", at positions 30 to 507 of the family's 1533-position model. The record is from RNAcentral.
AUUGAACGCUGGCGGCAUGCCUUACACAUGCAAGUCGAACGGUAACGUGCCUUCGGGUGCCGACGAGUGGCGAACGGGGGAGGAAUACAUCGGAACGUGCCCGAUCGUGGGGGAUAACGAGGCGAAAGCUGUGCUAAUACCGCAUACGAUCUACGGAUGAAAGCAGGGGACCGCAAGGCCUUGCGCGGACGGAGCGGCCGAUGGCAGAUUAGGUAGUUGGUGGGAUAAAAGCUUACCAAGCCGACGAUCUGUAGCUGGUCUGAGAGGAUGAUCAGCCACACUGGGACUGAGACACGGCCCAGACUCCUACGGGAGGCAGCAGUGGGGAAUUUUGGACAAUGGGCGCAAGCCUGAUCCAGCCAUGCCGCGUGCAGGAUGAAGGCCUUCGGGUUGUAAACUGCUUUUGUACGGAACGAAAAGCCUUCUUUUAAUACAGGAGGGUCAUGACGGUACCGUAAGAAUAAGCACCGGCUAACUACGUG